AACUAACGCUGGCGGCGUGCCUAACACAUGCAAGUCGUACGAGAAAGUCCGCUUCGGUGGAUAAGUAAAGUGGCGCACGGGUGAGUAACGCGUGGAUAAUCUACCCCUCAGUUGGGAAUAACUCAUCGAAAGGUGGGCUAAUACCGGAUAAUACUACACAUCUUCUGUUGUGUAGUCAAAGAUGGCCUCUGCUUGCAAGCUUUCGCUGAAGGAUGAGUCCGCGUACCAUUAGCUAGUUGGUAGGGUAAUGGCCUACCAAGGCAACGAUGGUUAGCUGGUCUGAGAGGAUGAUCAGCCACACUGGAACUGAGACACGGUCCAGACUCCUACGGGUGCUG
RNAcentral lists this ribosomal RNA (338 nucleotides) under uncultured Pseudomonadota bacterium. RNAcentral's name for it is "bacterial SSU rRNA". It matches the Rfam family "Bacterial small subunit ribosomal RNA", at positions 29 to 351 of the family's 1533-position model. The record is from RNAcentral. Lineage: Bacteria; Pseudomonadati; Pseudomonadota.